RNAcentral lists this ribosomal RNA (402 nucleotides) under uncultured bacterium. RNAcentral describes it as "bacterial SSU rRNA". It matches the Rfam family "Bacterial small subunit ribosomal RNA", at positions 356 to 773 of the family's 1533-position model. The record is from RNAcentral.
GGGGAAUAUUGCACAAUGGGGGAAACCCUGAUGCAGCGACGCCGCGUGAGUGAAGAAGUAUUUCGGUAUGUAAAGCUCUAUCAGCAGGGACGAAUAAAUGACGGUACCUGACUAAGAAGCCCCGGCUAACUACGUGCCAGCAGCCGCGGUAAUACGUAGGGGGCAAGCGUUAUCCGGAUUUACUGGGUGUAAAGGGAGCGUAGACGGUGAUGUAAGUCAGAUGUGGAAGCCCGGGGCUCAACCCCGGGACUGCAUUUGAAACUAUGUUGCUGGAGUGCAGGAGAGGUAAGUGGAAUUCCUAGUGUAGCGGUGAAAUGCGUAGAUAUUAGGAGGAACAUCAGUGGCGAAGGCGGCUUACUGGACUGUAACUGACGCUGAAGCACGAAAGCAUGGGGAGCAAAC